UGAAACUGCAGCAACAUUCAUUUCACCCUUCACAGAGUUCAUCAUUACUGUACAUGUAUUCCCUCAGCAGGAGACAAUAGCAGCCAAAAGUAAAAUAAUUGUUUCUCCUUGUAGAGGAAUGCUCCAAGAAAGGGCCCUAGGGACUAUUCUAAGCAAGGCCAAUUUUUUCAGCCAUAUCUAGAAAGAGUAGUACCAUCUGCUUUUAUCACAUAAUUUACACAACGCUUAACCAGAGACAGAGCAUAAGAAAACCUGCUGCCCCCCUCCUGGGAAGCCGUGUCUCUUAACGAGGAUUGGUGACCCCGCUAGUCCAAUUUGGUUUGAAAUUACUGCUCCAAUAUUGGAAAUUCUCUGCACAAGGAAGCAACGUACAAUGGCAUAAGUAGCAGAAGUUACUUGUUGUUUUUUUUCCACUUUUUUUUUUUUUUUCAUCGAGUUCUUGUUUUUUCCCCUUAUCUAAAAGUAUCUUUCAUUUAAGAGAGGAAACAUGAUAUACGUAUAAGUAAAGAAAAUGGAUGCAAAGCUAGGUCAUAGUGUUUUGUGACUUGGGGCAGCAAUACAAUACCUUUUAUUACUUGUUGCAUACUAAAAGAUACUUCUGAAAUAAUAGUUGACUUUAAUGUGAAGCAUACAAAUCAUUGAACUGAUAGCAAAAUCCAGACUUCUGGGCAAGAGAUAAAGUAUCUCAUUUAAAUUGAUUACACCUACCUACAGGACACAGAGAUGCGAAGAGAAAUGAGCAGAAAGGCGAUGGAAGAUAGCAGGAGACACCUGGACUACACACAGAUUGAUGGCAAAGGUUUUGGCUUCCUCGCUCUUUCAAAGUGACGGCUGGAGCCCCAGGCUGGAAAAGCCAGCAGAGUGCUUUAGACAGACCUAUUUACCAGGAUGCAGAGGCAUUGUGAGAAACUCUCCACCUGGACCCCAGUCAAUACUGCUUGAUCCUCGCUGGCAUGUCCUAAGGUUUGUCAUUCCUUUGUUGAGGCUUUAUUUAGCAAAAGUCAUUGCCAGCCCAGCAGCACAUAAGAAGGAAAGAACCAAGGCAGUGAAAUUACAGCACAUAUUGCCAAAUGACUCUUUAAUUAGGAAGUAA
Molecule: long non-coding RNA, 1093 nt
Filed under: Anas platyrhynchos platyrhynchos (common mallard)
Lineage: Eukaryota; Metazoa; Chordata; Aves; Anseriformes; Anatidae
Description: lncRNA (ENSAPLG00000030935.1)
Source: RNAcentral